CCUACGGGUGGCAGCAGUGAGGAAUAUUGGUCAAUGGCCGGGAGGCUGAACCAGCCAAGUCGCGUGAAGGAUGACGGCCCUACGGGUUGUAAACUUCUUUUGUCAGGGAGCAAGUGGGUCCGCGCGUGGGCUUAGCGAGAGUACCUGAAGAAAAAGCAUCGGCUAACUCAGUGCCAGCAGCCGCGGUAAUACGGAGGAUGCGAGCGUUAUCCGGAUUGAUUGGGUUUAAAGGGUGCGUAGGCGGAAUAGUAAGACAGAGGUAAAAUUUCGGGGCUUAACCCAGUCGUGCGGUUGAAACUGAUGUUCUUGAGUGGGCGAGAAGUAUGCGGAAUGCGUGGUGUAGCGGUGAAAUGCAUAGAUAUCACGCAGAACUCCGAUUGCGAAGGCAGCAUACCGGCGCCCAACUGACGCUGAAGCUCGAAAGCGUGGGUAUCGAACAGGAUUAGAUACCCGAGUAGUC
RNAcentral lists this ribosomal RNA (460 nucleotides) under uncultured bacterium. RNAcentral's name for it is "partial 16S ribosomal RNA". It matches the Rfam family "Bacterial small subunit ribosomal RNA", at positions 338 to 795 of the family's 1533-position model. The record is from RNAcentral.